This 301-nucleotide ribosomal RNA is filed under the name uncultured bacterium. RNAcentral describes it as "partial 16S ribosomal RNA". It matches the Rfam family "Bacterial small subunit ribosomal RNA", at positions 509 to 807 of the family's 1533-position model. The record is from RNAcentral.
CAGUCGCCGCGGGAACACGGAGGGCGCGAGCGUUACCCGGAUUUACUGGGCGUAAAGGGCGUGUAGGCGGCCUGGGGCGUCCCAUGUGAAAGGCCACGGCUCAACCGUGGAGGAGCGUGGGAUACGCUCAGGCUAGAGGGUGGGAGAGGGUGGUGGAAUUCCCGGAGUAGCGGUGAAAUGCGCAGAUACCGGGAGGAACGCCGAUGGCGAAGGCAGCCACCUGGUCCACUUCUGACGCUGAGGCGCGAAAGUGUGGGGAGCAAACCGGAUUAGAUACCCCUGUAGUCCCUGUCUCUUAUAC